UUUUCUUCCCAUUUUAUCCUUAUCAUCCCCCGAAUCGUUCUCUUUCAAUCUAGCUUUAUGAUUGAAUCUCUACAGCCACAAACGAAUUCAGUUCUUUCGUAUUUCCUCCAUCAAUUGUUACUGGCCAUUCAUACCUGAUUCAAUAUACCAAUUUAAUUCCCAGAUACGUUUCAUACCAGCAAUUAUUUAACAUCGAACCCAUCAUGGAACUGGGUACUCAUUUGCAGAAGACAAUGGAGAAGGGGAAACCAGGCACGGCCUCCGGCCGGCCACCUGAAACUCGCAAUAACAAGGACAGUGAUUUGUUUUCAUUUUAGUUUAGCCGAUUAGGGUUUUGGCAUGAUACUCAAGAGGAAGUUGAAAUAGACAAUUCUAAUUUAAUCAAGUGCAGUUUUUCCGACUAUGCAAAUUUCAAGGUUAAAAUUGAGCAAAUUCAAGGUUAAGAUAGGGUUCCUCUCACUCUAUGAAUCCGCCGGUGAUGGUAGCAAUGGGUUUUGGCCUUUCAGCUAAAGAACCGAUGUUUGUGCAAGAUUCUGAAUUUUCAGUUAUUAAAUGCAUUGGGCUCACUCAAGGCGCAUAGGCGUUGCCUGGGGCCUAGAAGAAAGUAGGAAAAAAAGCGAGGGGCUAAUAAAAGGCCUGUGCUCUACAAUUUUAACACCAUUAUUUGAAUUUAUACCUCAGAACCUCAGGUAUGUAGACAAGAAUUUUUUUUGGGCAUUUAUGGGUGCAACAACUUUGUUUCCCGGUAUUGAAAUCGGUAUCCUUGUUGGGGUGAGCUACAGUUUCUGUAUUGCAUACUUCUUUUUGUGAUGGUUAUAAAGAAAAGCUAAAUAAGCGUUUGUGGGUCCGCCCAACCGGCCGUGCCACAUUCUAAAGACGGCUUGGUUGUGAAAUCUUGAAGAAGAUGUUUCUUUAUUAAUUUGAUUAUAGUUUAUAGCGAUGACGGAGUUAUAGCAUCCUUUAAUGUCCUAAACGGGGCGGUGAUUCCUUUCGGUCCGUGGAACCUGACGUGCAACGUGCGGCAUAAAAACAUAAAUAUCCGCGGCAACGCGCGGGCAUUCCCUUAUUUCAACUGUAAAAACUGAUUAGUUUUAAGUGAUGCAACAUCUCAAAGUGUUAGAAUGAUAGAUCUCUAUGUAAAAAGUAAAAAGUAAUUCGUUAGUCCUAAGGUUAAGAUUUGAUCCUAGAAAGGCAAUUAGAAAGUCUGGUAACACGAUGGAUGAGUCCCUAGAAAUUGCAUGGUAAUUCAUUGCAUUUAUAUCCUUUAGCA
Helianthus annuus (common sunflower) is the source of this 1270-nucleotide long non-coding RNA. RefSeq lists it as uncharacterized. Lineage: Eukaryota; Viridiplantae; Streptophyta; Magnoliopsida; Asterales; Asteraceae. The transcript has 5 exons. The record is from RefSeq and is a predicted model, not a curated record.